This is a non-coding RNA of Salmo salar (Atlantic salmon), 54 nucleotides long. The record is from Rfam. Lineage: Eukaryota; Metazoa; Chordata; Actinopteri; Salmoniformes; Salmonidae.
GUUGUAGAAUUUUGUAAGUCGCUCUGGAUAAGAGCGUCUGCUAAAUGACUUAAA